Molecule: ribosomal RNA, 1365 nt
Filed under: Bufonaria rana
Lineage: Eukaryota; Metazoa; Mollusca; Gastropoda; Littorinimorpha; Bursidae
Description: 16S ribosomal RNA
Rfam family: Archaeal large subunit ribosomal RNA (bases 661-1365)
Source: RNAcentral
AAUAAAGUUAAACUAAUUUUUAAUAUAAUCAUGAAUUUAUAAAUUAAAACAUUUGUAGAUUAAGUAAAGGUGAUUAAAAUUUAAUGUUUUAUUUAAAGGAAAGUACUGAGAAGGAAUAAGGUAAAUUAAUUAACAGAAAAAAUUAAUGUUUGUACCUUUUGUAUCAUGGUUUAGCUAGAUUUAAAUUUUAAUUAUAAUUUCUCGAAAUCUAAUGAGCUAUUUUUAACUCUUAUUUUAGUAAGAACAUUUAUUUUAGGGUAGUUGUAGCAAAAACUUCUAAAUAGUUAAAAAUAGAAAUGAAAUUUUAUUCGAAUUAGAUGAUAGCUAGUUCUUUCAGAAAAGCAUUUAAGUGCUAUUAACUAAGUUUUUAAUGAGAAUAUAACUCUAAAUAAAUCUUAGUUAAAUUAGAUUACUGAGGAUAAGCUCAGUAAUUAAAAAAAUAGAAAAGUAUUAAAUUUUAUUUUAAAUUUAAGCUUGAAAAUAGCUAUAAUUAUAUGAUUUUGUUAUAAUUUUAUAUAACUUUUAAAAAUAUAAUUGAUCUACUUAUCUAUAAUGAAGGAAAACUUAUAAAUUUAAUAUAAGAUAUAUUAAUGCUAAAAUGAGUAUUUAAUAAAAUAUAAUCCUAAUAUUAUUUUUUAUAAAUAAUAAAUUAAUACAUAAUUUAAAAAUAAAAUUACAUUAAGGAACUCGGCAAAUCUAAUAUUCUGCCUGUUUAUCAAAAACAUGGCUCCUUGAUUAUUUAAUAUAUAAGGAGUCGGACCUGCCCAGUGAAGUAGUUUUAAACGGCCGCGGUACUCUGACCGUGCAAAGGUAGCAUAAUCAUUUGCCCUAUAAUUGAGGGCUAGUAUGAAUGGUUUGACAAGAAUAAAGCUGUCUCUAUGUAAUUAUAUAGAAUUUUAUUUUUAGGUGAAGAAGCCUAAAUUGUAUUAAAAGACAAGAAGACCCUAUCGAGCUUUAAAGAAAUUAAUAAAGUAAUAAUAAAUAUUUAUAAAAUAAAAUUUAUUAAAAAUUUUGGUUGGGGCGACAAAGGAACAAACAAAGCUUCUUUUAAAAUAAUGAAACUUACAAGUAUUGAUCCAAAAAAUUUUGAUUAAAGAAAUUAGUUACCGUAGGGAUAACAGCAUUAUCUUUUUUGAGAGCUCAUAUCGAAAAAAAGGUUUGUGACCUCGAUGUUGGACCAGGAUAUCCCAAAGAUGCAGAAGUCUUUAAAGGUUGGUCUGUUCGACCAUUAAAAUCCUACGUGAUCUGAGUUCAGACCGGCGUGAGCCAGGUCAGUUUCUAUCUUUUAUUAACUAAAAUAAGUUUAGUACGAAAGGACCAACUUAUAAUAUUGUCAUAAUAUUAAUUCAUUGAUUAAAUAUAAUA